This 484-nucleotide ribosomal RNA is filed under the name uncultured bacterium. RNAcentral describes it as "partial 16S ribosomal RNA". It matches the Rfam family "Bacterial small subunit ribosomal RNA", at positions 30 to 507 of the family's 1533-position model. The record is from RNAcentral.
AUUGAACGCUGGCGGCAGGCCUAACACAUGCAAGUCGAGCGGAUGAAGGGAGCUUGCUCCUGGAUUCAGCGGCGGACGGGUGAGUAAUGCCUAGGAAUCUGCCUGGUAGUGGGGGAUAACGUCCGGAAACGGGCGCUAAUACCGCAUACGUCCUGAGGGAGAAAGUGGGGGAUCUUCGGACCUCACGCUAUCAGAUGAGCCUAGGUCGGAUUAGCUAGUUGGUGGGGUAAAGGCCUACCAAGGCGACGAUCCGUAACUGGUCUGAGAGGAUGAUCAGUCACACUGGAACUGAGACACGGUCCAGACUCCUACGGGAGGCAGCAGUGGGGAAUAUUGGACAAUGGGCGCAAGCCUGAUCCAGCCAUGCCGCGUGUGUGAAGAAGGUCUUCGGAUUGUAAAGCACUUUAGGUUGGGAGGAAGGGCAGUAAGUUAAUACCUUGCUGUUUUGACGUUACCAACAGAAUAAGCACCGGCUAACUUCGUG